Molecule: ribosomal RNA, 564 nt
Filed under: uncultured Glomeromycotina
Lineage: Eukaryota; Fungi; Glomeromycota
Description: SSU rRNA
Rfam family: Eukaryotic small subunit ribosomal RNA
Source: RNAcentral
UUGGAGGGCAAGUCUGGUGCCAGCAGCCGCGGUAAUUCCAGCUCCAAUAGCGUAUAUUAAAGUUGUUGCGGUUAAAAAGCUCGUAGUUGAAUUUCGGGAUCAGAUUGUUGGUCGUGCCUCGGUACGUACUGGCAUUAUUGGUUCCUACCUUCUGAAGAACCGCGAUGUCAUUAAUUUGGUGUCGUGGGGAAUCAGGACUGUUACUUUGAAAAAAUUAGAGUGUUUAAAGCAGGCGCACGCUUGAAUACAUUAGCAUGGAAUAAUGAAAUAGGACGUUUGAUUCUAUUUUGUUGGUUUCUAGGAUCGACGUAAUGAUUAAUAGGGAUAGUUGGGGGCAUUAGUAUUCAAUUGUCAGAGGUGAAAUUCUUGGAUUUAUUGAAGACUAACUACUGCGAAAGCAUUUGCCAAGGAUGUUUUCAUUAAUCAAGAACGAAAGUUAGGGGAUCGAAGACGAUCAGAUACCGUCGUAGUCUUAACCAUAAACUAUGCCGACUAGGAAUCAGACGAUGUUAAUUUUUUAAUGACUCGUUUGGCACCUUACGGGAAACCAAAGUGUUUGGGUUC